This is a long non-coding RNA of Aquila chrysaetos chrysaetos, 4818 nucleotides long. RefSeq lists it as uncharacterized. The record is from RefSeq and is a predicted model, not a curated record. NCBI's taxonomy places the organism in Eukaryota, Metazoa, Chordata, Aves, Accipitriformes, Accipitridae. The transcript has 3 exons.
UCCCCCAUCCCAAGCAGGGGGAGUGAGCGAGCGGCUGUGUGGGGCUUAGUUGCUGACUGGGGUUAAACCACAACAGGGCUGUUUUGGGUUGGUUUUUAUUUUUUCCCUUGUGAAGAGGUUGCUGUGCUGAAAUGGUGCUUUCUUUGCAAAAUGACAAAUUGAGUGGGUCCCCCCUCCUGUUGCACGUGCAAUUGCCUUGGUGCCACUGGGGUCCUUCUGCAGCUGCAGGAGUGUAAGAACAAACGGGAGAGACAAGCGGUUAACCAAAGCAGGACAAAUGGAAAACCAAGAUGCUCAGUAAAAUACUUAGCAAACUGUUAUGAGCAAGGAAAAGGUUGUUCCUCUUCUAUUUAUUAUAAGGUUUGGAAGCAAGGCACUGCCUGCUUGCAGAGAGCUGAAUACCUGCAGUAAAGCCUUGCCUUCUAUUUGCACAUUUCCUUGAGUUAAGGCAGGGAAGAUGAUAAAACGCUUUUGAUCAGAGGCACUUAAAUAGCAGAAGUCUCCUGUACAAGCAUGUUUUCCUGCUCUGAUGUACUCAAGAGCGUGUCUCAGCCAGGGCUCGGUGGCUGCGAUGAUGAUGCACGGCACGUGGUCGUGGUGGCAUCUUGCACUGGCAGACCUGGGACGGCCCCUCCUCGGGAGCAGGAGGUAAUGCACAUUUCAUGUCAGCCUUGUCCCGGGUCCCUCGAGCCAACGUGGCCACGGCUCUGCAGCGAUGUUUGGUUGUUCUGGGAUGGAUAUUUGCUCUCGGCUGCAUGUCUUUUACAAGGGCACAAAUGUAAUGUCAAGAGAAACCACUUCAGUAAUGUACUCAAAAGUAAAUAUUUUAUACGGUACUAUAGUAAUGCGACGUACCGCCUUCUUGACAUACUUUGCUUUUUGCCCAAGGUCUGGGAUUUGGGGCCGUUUGCAGGGCUGGAUUCCUGCGUCGUCUUCUCUCCAGGGCCUUGUGUGCCCUUUUCACAAGGUGCUGAAUUUCUUUCUGUCCCUAUAAAAUGGUAAGAGCAACUCAGUCGCAGUUUCUGGAAAAAAGUGAAUUCUGAUUAUCUGAUGGUUAUUGUUUUAAGUUCUCAGGAUCAAUAGCGCUGUAUUAAAGCAAGGUACUUGCUCCUUUUCGAGGUGCAAUGUGAAAGGAGAUUCAGGAUGAUUAAUGUCCGGCAGCCCGCGUGCUGGGUGCCAGGGACUUCAGUUGAGGAACAGCUAGAAGGCACAGGCCAGUGAGUUUUCACAUAAAUGUAUAUACCUUUAUAUCUAAUUUGCACUUACUGAUACCCCAGCUGUAGUAAUUGGGUGAUGACUGACUGCCUUAGCAACUUCAUCGUAGGCAUUUGCAAGACAGGGCGCGUUCUGGAAAGCUCGGGCUGCAAACCAAGGUGUCUGCAAGAUGUAAAUCUUACUUAUCUGACAGCUUUAAACAAUAUCAGCUAAGUGUUUGUCUUUUUGACCAAACCCAAAGGGCCUGCACAGCACCAACAUCUCUGUCUCACUGGCACAAGACAUCAUCAGCGGUGUCUGGCACUGGUUUUUAUCCCACCCCAUACCUCCGCCUGGGGAAGGCUGUGUCAGAUAUGGCAAGACACCUCAUCCCCGCCUUGCCUGUGCCACAAAGGCUGGUGACAGGUUGUUAAACCCCUGAUGCAAAGGGCUGGGUAUCGUGUGCGGAGCAACGAGCGCUCAAAGUGCAUUUUUGCAGAGGACUAUAAAUGCUCUCGCAUUACCUGGCGGUUACGUUCCAAUCAAUAUGGUUUUCACAGACCAGGAUUAGUUAUGUCACCUUUUGUACUCCAAGGUAACUCAAAGUACUUCAUAAAGUAAUGAGUUUAGCUAUAGAUAGCACAGGUUAAUGGCGUGGCCAUUACAUACUCAGUGAUAAAGCUUCCGUGCGGUCUUGGAUAUUAUAAAUCUGGUUUAUUAAGAAUGGAAAUAUUGACAAAGACCCAAUUCUGCCUUAUUCCUUCUGUAGCCUCCCAGGGAUUUUUGACAAGCCACUUCUGGCAGCUUCCAGCACAGAUAGAGAGAGACUUUAAGCUCUCAGAGGAAAACUGCUACUUUAGGGCUCUGCCUCGUGUGGGAAAGGAGGACGUCGUAAAUAAUAACCCGAGGAUCGCUGCCAUCUGAGCAGAGAGAAGUGCCCGUGAGGGUCCUGGCGAAGCCCGUCCCCUUUGGGUACCCUCGCUUGUCCUUAGCGCCUUUCCGUUUACACCGGGAUUAAGAGGGAUGCUGCUGCUCUGGCUAAGGAGUGCUCGUGGCGUGGUGCUGCCAUCGCUGUGGCUGGACGGAGACGUGCCGGGGGUAUUUUCGAGCACUUUCGACCCUGCUUGGAAAAGGGAGAGCGAUUGCUGCGCAAUACGGCUGCUCACGGGGUCUUCUUCGCAACAAAUGUACAUACUACUACUAUUAAAUACAGCCAAAGAAGCCAAAGCUCAGUCUCAGGGCUCCUGUUAGCACCAGUACACGCUACCGCUGGGCAGAAGGGAUGCGCGCGCCAAGGGACCGUGAAGGUAAAGGUGCUCAGCUGAAGCACGCUCCUGCUCACACACAGGAUCUCACGGGGUCUUUAGUUACAGCUGAGCAAAUUUUUCUUUAUACAUGGAAUGAAUUUUGCAAAAAAAAAAAAGGCUUUGGAUUUUUUUUUUUUUUUAGUGUUUUUUUUUUUUUUUUUUUUUUAGUUUUUUGAGACAAGGAGACAGCUUGGCCAGGGGUUAAUAAAAGCAUUGAAUCUUCCCAAUGCUUCCUCCACCCACACCCAGAGCCUGUUUUAACAGUAGUGUAGUACUGCAUAUAGUUUUGGUUGGUCUUUUGUUUUUGUUACCUAAAACUGCUUAAUGUGUCUAUUAACCCAGGUAUUGGUUAAAAAAACUGCUCUCUAUUUAAAAAGAUGUGGAGGAAAAAAGGUCUUGGUAAUGCAAAGGUUUUAGUCUGGAGAACAAAGAAAAGUUCAGUUAUUUUGCUUUUUGAAAAAAAAAAAUCACUAAUCCCGGCGUGCUUUGGUUUGAUCUGAACCAAAUUCUAUUUCAAGUUCUGACAUCUGCCUUUGACUUGGAGAAAAAAAACCCCAACCCAAGAGCCUAUAAUAAUAACAACUGUAAUAAUAAUUGUUAUUAUUUUAAAUUUUGGUACAAAAGUCCAUGGAUUUAGGGGAGGGUGGCUGUUUCCACCAGCUUAGUAAAACUAUUCACAUGGUCAAAGUUAAGCACGCAGCUAAAUCAUUUGAGGAACAAGACUUUCUGCAGGCAGAUAAGAGCCUAAUGACACGAUGAUGAGAGCCCAGACUUCCACAGAUAGCAGAAACUAAUAUUUGUGAUGCAACAGUCUUGCAUUAUUCAGUAGUUAAAGAUAAUUCUAAGAAACAGAACAGCUUGAGAAUUAGCAAAACUAGCAAUAAAAUAUUCUUAGCUGACUCCGGGGGGAAGUAAAUUGCCAUGUACAGGAUUUGCAUUCAUCUUAAUGUUUAUUAAAAAUGAGACAGCGCUGCUUUCCGCAUGCUCGGCUGGAAUAGCUCCACGGCUUGCUGGAACCGCGCGUCCUUCCCGGUCCUUGCUCAGCCCCGGGAGCCUGCGGGACCUGCUGAGGCCUCUCGCUAACUCAUUGCAUGUGUGGGUUGACGUUGGGGUGAGGGUGAUGGAAACCCAACUACCCGCUCAGAGCCUGCUGAGCGAGUAAAGACCCCGGCAGGCGCCUCAAUUGUGCUAAAGCACAAAGAUCUUGCGUCGCACGAGCGAAAUCGCCACCCGACGGAUUCGCACCAACAGUUUAGUGCGGCACGAACACGGCCGUGGAAGGAGGAACCUGCACGAUGGCCUCCUUGCUGCUCGAAACUACUACGUGGGCUGGGGGGCGAGCCACGCUUCUUGCUUUAAUGAAUGCAAAUUUCCCACCACCACGCAAGUGGAGAAGCAGCCGGGAUCUCCGAAAACCCCACUGAUGUCUGCGUACGUGGACCCACACCUGCAACCAGGCACCCGUUUACCGGCCCCCUGCAAGCGUUAGGUGCCAUUAGCGAAUGAGCUGGGGUGCGCAUGUGGGGAAGGACGAUGAAAUGAAAGAAUAAAAAUACUAAAAAAAAAAAAGCAAGUGAGACUAUUCAAAAGGGGGACUUUAUUUUUAUUACACUGGAGCCAGGCGUCAGUGCGCCAGUUCAGCUUUGAUACACAAUAAAUCAGCAAAGCUGUCACUCAGUUUGGAAACCAAGAUUGCAGUGGCACUAAAAACACAUUGAAAACAUUUACUUUCUUCCCUUUUUUUUUUUUUUUUUUUCCUCUUUUGUUUUUGGUACAAAAAUGGUACAAACAACAAUACAAAAUAUUUGUGCUGUUGACGGUUACAAAAAAAGGUUUUUGAACUGGGUUAACGGACGCAAACUGCUUUUGCGCUUCAGCGUGAAUACAGCAGAACAGCAGAAGUCUUCCUUGAGAACAACCACAGUCAUGCGGGCUGCUACACAGCUUCUCCAUCAUAAAAGGAAACAUGCAAAAUCAUAAUUAAAAUAAAAAAAAAAGAAAGAGAAAGUGCUCCAAUUAUACACCUAUAUGUUGUUGUUUUUUCCCCUAUUUGAUCUGUAGCUUCAAGCACUAACUACAUUAUGUACACAUUGUGUGAGCAUUUGUAUAUGGGGUUGGUGUGUACUGGAAAGAACUUUUAUUUUCCCCAUGAAACUGAGUUAACUUUGCGUGGGAGACACCUAUGUUGUCUAGCUGCUGUUUUAAACAUACGCAUUCAUCGUUAUACAGCAUUCCCCCCCCCAACAUUUUUUUUUCACACUUACAAUGAAGAGCUCUAAAAGACAUCACAAAUAAAAGUCCCGUAUUUUACCUUUAA